GUCUACGGCCAUACCACCUGAAUGUUCUUAAUCUCAUUUGGUCUCGGAAGCUAAGCAAGGUCAGGAAUGGUUUGUACUCAUAUGGGAGAAAGAGUUUCAAAGGAUACUGCUCAGAGACCAAGAGUUUGGAGACA
This 134-nucleotide ribosomal RNA is filed under the name Castor canadensis (American beaver). Lineage: Eukaryota; Metazoa; Chordata; Mammalia; Rodentia; Castoridae. The record is from RNAcentral.